AUGAAGAACGCAGCGAAAUGCGAUAAGUAAUGUGAAUUGCAGAAUUCAGUGAAUCAUCGAAUCUUUGAACGCAUCUUGCGCUCCUUGGUAUUCCGAGGAGCAUGCCUGUUU
Molecule: ribosomal RNA, 111 nt
Filed under: Agaricus subantarcticus
Lineage: Eukaryota; Fungi; Basidiomycota; Agaricomycetes; Agaricales; Agaricaceae
Also listed under: 7 other names
Description: 5.8S ribosomal RNA
Rfam family: 5.8S ribosomal RNA
About the family: 5.8S ribosomal RNA (5.8S rRNA) is a component of the large subunit of the eukaryotic ribosome. It is transcribed by RNA polymerase I as part of the 45S precursor that also contains 18S and 28S rRNA.
Source: RNAcentral